GGACGUGUCGAUAGAGAAGAGGAAACACCCGGUCCCAUACCGAACCCGGCAGUUAAGCUCUUUAUCGGCGAAGGUAGUGCCAGGGGAACUUGGUGUGAGAUUAGCAAGAUGCGCCCU
Molecule: ribosomal RNA, 117 nt
Filed under: bacterium
Lineage: Bacteria
Source: RNAcentral